GGAAAAAAGUGACCCGAGCUGGGUCAGAGAGAGGAAGGAAGGGGUAGAAAGAAAGAGCAUCCUGUGUGUGGCAUUUUUCCUCCGAAACAGAAAAGAUGAGACAUUUCCCAGCGAUUACGGGCCCUUGGUUGCUACUUUAUGACAACUUCUGGUCGGUUGGGCUGGGCUUGGCUGAAAGUUGUUUCCUUAAGGCUCGUCCCUACGGAGGGUUUAGCAAACCCGACUGAGGUUUUAAACCAAUUCAGUUCAAUUGGCAUAAAAGCUGCCCGGACGCUUUUACUUCAGAUGCCUGAGGCAGACCGGUUUUCCUUGCUGCAUGACCGUAUUCCAGUUAUUUCAGGCUUGGCCGGGCAGAAAAAGUUCCAAAGCUGUGGAAUCUCCAAGAAGAGACCUCGCCAUUAGCAGUCUUUUAGCACAGCAGUUCCAGCCCCUGCUGAUCUCCUUUGAGAGCUGCUAAACUCUAUUGUUUGGAUUUUUAGGUGCUAAACUCCACCCUUUUCCUGGCAUGAAUAUGCAAAACACGCUCCACCCUUGAUGGGUUUUAUCAGGCGGAACACAGAUUUUAACUUCUGGUGCUCCGGACAGAAUUUAUGAAAUUUGGAUUAAAACCAAAAUGUCAACAGUUGCUCCACUUUACUCCGUGGAGCCCUUCCAGCUGUCUUUAGAUAGUUUAGUGUCCCGAGUGCAACAGAUAAAUAAUUUGGAAUUGAAUCGAUGGAACAUCCACAGAGACAGUUUAUACCUGAGAAUAAUAUGCAACCACUCCAGCCAGAAGUACCUCAAAAGCUGCAGGCUCUGGAACCUUUAACUCCCAGUUUCCCCCCCUUUUAUGCCAUUAGUCAUUCUGAAAAUCAACAUUUCUAACAGACCGAAAAAUCUGAGCCCAAAUGAUGUUUUAGUCACUUUAGGUUGUGAUGUUUUUAUCACUGUAGGUUAUACAGAGGGCUGCUGUGCAAACCCUAACUGCAAUAAAUAAGUAUAAAUA
Molecule: long non-coding RNA, 985 nt
Organism: Chiroxiphia lanceolata (lance-tailed manakin)
Lineage: Eukaryota; Metazoa; Chordata; Aves; Passeriformes; Pipridae
Exons: 2
Source: RefSeq, a predicted model, not a curated record